GGCCAACUAUUCCAAAUACACUGCCAAUAACAAUUACUUGUUUGAUAGCUGAAAAACAGAGACCAACCACAAAAAAAAACAUGAAUACAUUUUUUGUAUUCAUGGUUUGAUAUACAUUUUUGAUAUACAUUUUUUCAUAUCUGUUUGAAUGCAGUCACAUGACAAUUUUUGAAAUUGUGCAUAUAGUGUUAAUUUUGCUGUUCUCUUUACUUGUGGAGCUGCCUCCCUUUGACAGUGGGAUUGGCCUGAAUGAUGUCCAGAGGUCCCUUCCAACCUUUCACCCUUUCAGAUUCUCUGAAACAGGAUUGAGGAGGAAAACCACUGCUCCACAAAAAAGUGAAAGAGGACAUAGAAACCAUGGACACUGAAGCCAUGUGUUAAAACACCAAAAGAUGCUGAAAAGAGAGUUGAAAUGCAUGCACCUAGAGGCACUUUUAACUGUCCAUGGGCUCCAUCCGAAUGGAAUUGCUGACAAGGCUGAUAUGUGUAACUAACCUUUCAAGUCCAUCCAAGUUUGUUCAGAGAAGUUGAGAGCCCUCUGGUUCAGGAGGACCUCCAGAUGCAAAUCCUCAGAGUAGCGCACUUCAAUCACAUCAGAGUUGUUCUCCUGCAUGGCCACUGCAGACAAGCCUGUCCCCUGAGCCCCAGUUCCUUCCAAGUGAAAAAAACCAACAAUGCUAUCAAAAUGCAUCAGCUGGCAGCUGUGCCUAUUGAUUUCUAGAACUGGCCUUAUGUUUCCUUAUUGAUGAGAAUGGGCAUGGAGAGAAAUCAGAACUUUUUUGGAGUUCUUAAACACAGUUGGAAAUUUUACACUUCCAUUACUCACACCCAAUAAAACUAGCAAUUAAACUUUGAUUGGGAAGUUUUUCCUGAAGAUGUUGUCUGCUUUCUGAUUAUCUUCAGAAUGGUGACUGUUCACAAAUGGCCAAAAAAGAAAACUAGAAACAACAGAGAUGACAGGAGGAUUGCUGCUAAGUGCAAAUCAAGCAAAUAUCAAAUCUCAGUUCUGCAAAUCUCAGAAGUUCAGAAGCUCUGCUUCCUCUCUUACCAACUUACCAUUGGAAAAGUGUGCCUGCUGUGUCCUCCCUUGCACUCUCAGGGAUGUGAGAUCAGACUCUACCAAUGUGUAUUCUCCCAGGCCAUUGAAGGUGAAGUUCAGACCGUCAAAUGUAAAGAAAUGAGGAUCCCCAAAAGCAGAUGCUAUUUUUAAAAGCAAAAAGAGAAUUAAGAACAAGCAAAAAUCACAACCUGUUACUCCUCAAGUUCAUGAGAAAGGACAGAGGCUAGAAUUCUGUGUCAUAUGCAAUAUAUGGGGAGAUUUGGACAUGAAUACAGGGCUAUUGCCUUAUCUUUGCAUCCAUAUCCUUUGCAUCCUUAUCCCCUUUUGCAUUUCCAACUUCCAUGUAAAUUGCUCCAAGCUGCUUCUAAUUUAUCUUCUUUUGUAUGCUUUAAUCUGUAUAGUAACUAAUACAAUGCACCUUGCCAUCAA
Molecule: long non-coding RNA, 1489 nt
Organism: Haemorhous mexicanus (house finch)
Lineage: Eukaryota; Metazoa; Chordata; Aves; Passeriformes; Fringillidae
Exons: 2
Source: RefSeq, a predicted model, not a curated record